CCCUUAGAUGUUCUGGGCCGCACGCGCGCUACACUGUUCGACGCAGCGAGUCUUAACCUUGACCGAAAGGUUUGGGUAAUCUUCAGCAAAGUCGAACGUGAUGGGGAUUGAUCAUUGCAAUUAUUGAUCGUGAACGAGGAAUUCCUAGUAAGUGCAAGUCAUCAGCUUGCGCUGAUUACGUCCCUGCCCUUUGUACACACCGCCCGUCGCUACUACCGAUUGAAUGGUUUAGUGAGAUCUCUGGAUUGACGCUGGCUAGGGGGCGACCCUUGGCCAGGCUGUCGAGAAACUGCUCAAACUUGAUCAUUUAGAGGAAGUAAAAGUCGUAACA
This 331-nucleotide ribosomal RNA is filed under the name uncultured eukaryote. RNAcentral describes it as "partial 18S ribosomal RNA". It matches the Rfam family "Eukaryotic small subunit ribosomal RNA", at positions 1470 to 1796 of the family's 1831-position model. The record is from RNAcentral.